This 1399-nucleotide ribosomal RNA is filed under the name Escherichia coli. RNAcentral's name for it is "partial 23S ribosomal RNA". It matches the Rfam family "Bacterial large subunit ribosomal RNA", at positions 97 to 1540 of the family's 2925-position model. Lineage: Bacteria; Pseudomonadati; Pseudomonadota; Gammaproteobacteria; Enterobacterales; Enterobacteriaceae. The record is from RNAcentral.
GUUAUAACCGGCGAUUUCCGAAUGGGGAAACCCAGUGUGUUUCGACACACUAUCAUUAACUGAAUCCAUAGGUUAAUGAGGCGAACCGGGGGAACUGAAACAUCUAAGUACCCCGAGGAAAAGAAAUCAACCGAGAUUCCCCCAGUAGCGGCGAGCGAACGGGGAGCAGCCCAGAGCCUGAAUCAGUAUGUGUGUUAGUGGAAGCGUCUGGAAAGGCGCGCGAUACAGGGUGACAGCCCCGUACACAAAAAUGCACAUGCUGUGAGCUCGAUGAGUAGGGCGGGACACGUGGUAUCCUGUCUGAAUAUGGGGGGACCAUCCUCCAAGGCUAAAUACUCCUGACUGACCGAUAGUGAACCAGUACCGUGAGGGAAAGGCGAAAAGAACCCCGGCGAGGGGAGUGAAAAAGAACCUGAAACCGUGUACGUACAAGCAGUGGGAGCACGCUUAGGCGUGUGACUGCGUACCUUUUGUAUAAUGGGUCAGCGACUUAUAUUCUGUAGCAAGGUUAACCGAAUAGGGGAGCCGAAGGGAAACCGAGUCUUAACUGGGCGUUAAGUUGCAGGGUAUAGACCCGAAACCCGGUGAUCUAGCCAUGGGCAGGUUGAAGGUUGGGUAACACUAACUGGAGGACCGAACCGACUAAUGUUGAAAAAUUAGCGGAUGACUUGUGGCUGGGGGUGAAAGGCCAAUCAAACCGGGAGAUAGCUGGUUCUCCCCGAAAGCUAUUUAGGUAGCGCCUCGUGAAUUCAUCUCCGGGGGUAGAGCACUGUUUCGGCAAGGGGGUCAUCCCGACUUACCAACCCGAUGCAAACUGCGAAUACCGGAGAAUGUUAUCACGGGAGACACACGGCGGGUGCUAACGUCCGUCGUGAAGAGGGAAACAACCCAGACCGCCAGCUAAGGUCCCAAAGUCAUGGUUAAGUGGGAAACGAUGUGGGAAGGCCCAGACAGCCAGGAUGUUGGCUUAGAAGCAGCCAUCAUUUAAAGAAAGCGUAAUAGCUCACUGGUCGAGUCGGCCUGCGCGGAAGAUGUAACGGGGCUAAACCAUGCACCGAAGCUGCGGCAGCGACGCUGAUGCGUUGUUGGGUAGGGGAGCGUUCUGUAAGCCUGCGAAGGUGUGCUGUGAGGCAUGCUGGAGGUAUCAGAAGUGCGAAUGCUGACAUAAGUAACGAUAAAGCGGGUGAAAAGCCCGCUCGCCGGAAGACCAAGGGUUCCUGUCCAACGUUAAUCGGGGCAGGGUGAGUCGACCCCUAAGGCGAGGCCGAAAGGCGUAGUCGAUGGGAAACAGGUUAAUAUUCCUGUACUUGGUGUUACUGCGAAGGGGGGACGGAGAAGGCUAUGUUGGCCGGGCGACGGUUGUCCCGGUUUAAGCGUGUAGGCUGGUUUUCCAGGCAAA